RNAcentral lists this non-coding RNA (187 nucleotides) under Singulisphaera acidiphila. The record is from RNAcentral. RNAcentral also lists the same sequence under 1 other name. Lineage: Bacteria; Pseudomonadati; Planctomycetota; Planctomycetia; Isosphaerales; Isosphaeraceae.
ACCAAGUUCACUGUCCCGGUCUAAGGGAAGCCGGUGAGAAUCCGGCGCGGCCCCGCCGCUGUAAUUGGGAACGUUGCGUUCCGCUCCAAAAGCGAAGCCACUGCCCGCGCGAUUCAGAAGCGGGUGGGAAGGCAGAACGCAGCGACGGCCCAUGAGCCAGAAGACCUGACCGGGAUCUAUCAGACCU